Molecule: long non-coding RNA, 3837 nt
Organism: Gorilla gorilla gorilla (western lowland gorilla)
Lineage: Eukaryota; Metazoa; Chordata; Mammalia; Primates; Hominidae
Exons: 5
Source: RefSeq, a predicted model, not a curated record
GCGCCUUCGCGGAGUUGCCAGAGGGUGCGGCCGCCCAGAGCGCGCCCAGAGCGCACCCCGAGCGCCGGCGAGCGGCGCGGUGAGACCCUCGUGCAGGUGAGCCCGGCGCACGGCGGCCCAGAAUCCUGGACCCCAGGAGAAGCGUCUACGGCCCCGACAGGGGGAGUCCCAGUGUCCCAGGGCUGGAGCCAUGCCCCCUACGGAUCAGACACCAAGACCAGGGUCACGCGGGGAGCUGCAGCAGCUGGUGGCCAGUCUGGGUCAGGCUGACCUCUCAGGUGACCUCAUCUGUCUGGUGUCAUUAGACCUGUCGGGGGACCUUGGGGGCCUGAAGCCCAGUAUGUCCCACCCACUGCCAGUCCCCCCGCCCCUCCCGCUGUGGGUCACGCCACCAGGGCAGAGCUGAGCCACUGGCCCACUUGGAGCCAGGACCCCUUUGGCACAGAGGUGGCCCUGGGCCGUCUAGAGAGGGUCCAGGCUUUCCAAGCCCCUCUCCUGCCUGAGCAGCACCACGGGAGGGAGGGAUGGGAGCUGGGAACCUGGGCUUCCCCCUCCUCCCCACACCUGCUGGGCACCCAGCUCCACCUCCAGGCCCAGGUGUGAGGCCCGGGCUCAGCCUGGGAUUGCGGUCGGCUGGCCGGAGUGGGGAGUGGGGAUGGCAGUGAUGCUGGGGGCAGUGGUCUGAGCUGCUGCAGCCUCGGGGCCCCACCCCUGGGGAUUUCCAUGUGACAGACUCGGUGGCAGCUUUCGGGCAGGAGAGGGGGAUGGAAAGUAUGAUGGAAGGUCCCCACAAGGACAAAUAAGGUCUCUCCCCGCUCUGUGUCUCCGCCCGUGUCCCUGCCUCCACACCCUGGGCAUCGCCUGUCUUGGGGUGGAGGCCGAGGCUGCGGGGCUGGGGAGGGGCAGCAGGUGUGGGAUGUGGUUCAGCAGAGUGGGCGGCCCAGGCCGGGGGCAGAAGCUGCCUCCUGGGUUCCAAUCCCUUCUCCCGGCCCCGCAGCAUUUCAGUGCCGGCCCAGGGACGGGCUUAUCCUUUCCCGGUGGCCUCACCUGCUCUCCUGUGACUGGCCCUGGAGGUCACCACGUGGCACUCCUCCUCCAGGAAGCCUUCCCUGGUAGCCUCCCCAACAGCCACUCAGUGGGAACUGCCCCCAGGUCUGGCUUCCCCACGGAGCCAGUUUCAUGGGAAGGAGCUUAGGGCCCCAAGUCCAGCAAGUGCCCAGGACGUGCCUGGCUGGCGAUCCCCCCUUCCCCACAGGCCAGGUGUAGACAGAGGUGUUGCUCACUGCUGGGUGGCCCUGCACAGAUCAUCUGAGCUCCUGAGCCUCCCCGAACCAGCGUGUAGGCCCUGGGGCACCAUGAGGUUGGAAGGGGGCCGACCUCAUGGGCUCUCGUCUAGAGGUGAAGACACGGGGACAGAGUGAACGCAAAUGUGGGGGCGCUGCCUGCCGUUAUCAGCACGGAAUGCAGAAGCAGGGACAGGGAUAGGGCUGCGGGGCCAGCCCAGGAGGACCCCUCUGGAGGUGUGUGCCGUGCCUCAUGGGGCAGGCCAAGGUGGCCAGUCAGGCCGGGGUGGACAGAACUUUGCGUUUCCCGAGAGCCGUAGAGGCCGACACUGAGCCGUAAGCAGCUCUGACGUGCAAUUCCUGAGAGUCCCCUGUCUGCCGUGGCUUGGCUGUGGGGUCAGAGUUGGGCAGAACGGAACCAAUAGUCCUGGCAGGCCCAGGCGGUUGGAGGAGAAGUGGUCGGCUCUGGACACCUUUGUUGUUUUUUGUUUUUUGUUUUGAGAUGGCGUCUCGCUGUGUCACCCAGGCUGGAGUGCACUGGCGCGGUCUUGGCUCACUGCAACCUCCACCUCCCGGGUUCAUGCAAUUCUCCUGCCUCAGCCUCCGGAGUAGCUGGGAUUACAGGUGUAUGCCACCAUGCCUGGCUAAUUUUUGUAUUUUUAGUAGAGACGGAGUUUCACCAUGUUGGCCAGGCUGGUCUUCAACUUCUGACUUCGUGAUCCACGCUGCUGGGAUUACAGGUGUGAGCCACCGCGUGUGGCCUCUGGGCACCUUUUGAAGGUGGUUUCACCCCAACGUCAGCAGGGUGGAGGCAGAGAAGCUGUUCCUAUCCAGAGGUCAGCGUGGGGACUUCCUUGCCAGGCCCAGCGAGAGCAGCCCGGGGGACUUCACGCUGUCCGUCAGGUGGUACCACGGGCGCCUGUCUGGCAAGGAGGCUGAGAAGCUGCUGCUGCAGAAGGGGCGUCCGGGCAGCUUCCUGGUGCACGUGAGUCAGAGCGAUCCUGGAGGCUUCCCGCUGUCAGCACUGACGCAAGGGUGGGACGAGGCGCAGGGCGCAGGCCGCCAGCCACAGGUCACGCACAUAUGACUCACUCCCAGGUGGGAGGGGGCGGCAAGCUGGGGCGGCCUCUGGGAAGGGCGGGCGGCCUUGGCCAGGCCCCUCACCGCCACCCCCAUGGCCGGACGAGAAGUGGUGGGAGACGGGGAGCGUUUUGACACCCUCGGAGACCCGGUGGAGCAGGAAGAGCCCGAUGGUGGGGAAGGUGGGGUUGUGUACCUCAAGCAGGUAAAAGCCCCUCCACAGGCACCAGGGCCGUGGGCACAGCCUCACCCAGGAAAGCAGCUGGGGGUCCACUGGGCUCAGGGAAGACCCCCUGCCAGGGAGACCCCAGGCGCCUGAAUGGCCACGGGAAGGAAAACCUACCAGCCCCUCCGUGUGUCCUCCUGGCACAUGGUGACCUCCAUGACCCGACGAGGCCCCUCAAGGCCACGAGGAUCAGUGCUCGGAGCCUGGAGGGCUGUGUGCAGGAGUAGCAGGGCCACUGAUGCCAGCGGGAAGGCCAGGCAGGGCUUCUGAGUGGAGUUCAAGGUGCAUCCUGACCACUGCCACCUUCAGACUCUGUCCCCUGGGGCUGAGGCAAGUGCCUGAUGGGAGCGCAGGGUCUGGGACUGUAGGGUCCAGCCCUACGGAGCUUAGCAGGUGUUCUCCCCGUGUGCGGAGAUGAGAGAUUGUAAUAAAUAAGGACCGAAGACAAAGAGAAAACAGCUGGGCCCCGGGGACCACUACCACAAAGACACGGAGACCGGUAGUGGCCCUGAACGGCUGGGCGCGCUGAUAUUUAUUGCAUACAAGACAAGGGGGCAGGAGAAGGAGGGUCAAUCUUCUAAGUGAUUGACAAGUGAAACAAGUCACGUGAUCACAGGACAGCGGGCCCUUCCCUCUUAGGUAGCUGAAGCAGAGAGAGAAGGCGGCAUACCUCAGCGUUUUCUUCUAUGAACUUAUAAGAUCAAAGACUUUAAGACUUUCACUAUUUCUUCUACCGCUAUCUACUACGAACUUCAAAGAGGAACCAGGAGUACGGGAGGAGCAUGAAAGUGGACAAGGAGUGUGAGCAUUGAAGCACCACAGGGAGGGGUUCAGGCCUCCGGAUGACUGCGGGCAGGCCUGGAUAACAUCCAGCCUCCCACAAGAAGCUGGUGGAGCAGAGCGUUCCCUGACUCCUCCAAGGAAAGGAGACUCCCUUUCGCGGUCUGCUAAGUAACGGGUGCCUUCCCAGACAUUGGUGUUACCGCUUGACCAAGGGGCCCUCAAGCGGCCCUUAUGCAGGUGUGACAGAGGGCUCACCUCUUGCCUUCUAUUCCCUUCUCACAAUGUCCCUUCAGCACCUGACCCUGUACCCACCGGUUAUUCCUAGGUUAUAUUAUUAAUGCAACAGAGUAAUAUUAAAAGCUAAUGAUUAAUAAUGUUUAUAAUAAUGAUGGAUAAUUGUUCAUGAUCAUCACUGUAUCUAAUUUGUAUCAUGACUAUUCUUAUUCUAUUUUCUUUAUUAUACUG